Molecule: signal recognition particle RNA, 227 nt
Filed under: Chloroflexota bacterium
Lineage: Bacteria; Bacillati; Chloroflexota
Description: signal recognition particle sRNA large type
Rfam family: Bacterial large signal recognition particle RNA
About the family: The signal recognition particle (SRP) is a universally conserved ribonucleoprotein involved in the co-translational targeting of proteins to membranes.
Source: RNAcentral
CUGAUCUGUACCGCGGGUGUUUUGCGAUGUAAGGACGCAACGCGGCCUGUGCUGAUUCAUGAUAGAAUAGGUGUAGGCGAUGGCGCAGGGCCGUCACCCGCCCGGCAGAACGCCGUGAACCCCGUCAGGUCGGAAGAAGCAGCGGUAAGCGUCACGUUCUGGGUGCGGCGGCAAAGGCGGCCCUGCGCCAUCGCCUGUCUUUUUAGCUGUCAGCGAUCAGUAAUCAG